Molecule: non-coding RNA, 1127 nt
Organism: Caretta caretta (loggerhead turtle)
Lineage: Eukaryota; Metazoa; Chordata; Testudines; Cheloniidae
Source: RefSeq, a predicted model, not a curated record
UCUAACCAGACAGAUCAGCUCAGGCUACGGUGCAGCGAUGAAGGACUGUCAAGAGGUCCUGGUGCGUCCAAGCCAUUCGCUCGCAGGUGUAGAUUAAAGGGAGACGUCGGUGUCUUGUCUGCACUGAUCUGUAGCGUGUUGGUUCACGAGACGUUCCCCUGCACGUCACUGGCCCCCAAUCACAGGUGUCUCGGCGUUUAGGUUGGAAUUCACCUGAGGUGCGAAACUGCCUGAGACCUAAGGAAGGUCGUUUCUAUCACAUGGCAUUUACAGGGCCUUUGCCCCACAAGCGGGGUCGAGGCCUCAGAAUUGCCAGUGAAGCAGCCCGUUAACUCCAAAGCAGGAGCCGUCAAGGGAGAGUGGAAAUGCCCAGCCUGCCUGCGCUGGCUGCUCACCCGCGCCCACGUGGGCGAAGGGGCCCGGCAGCUUGUUGCUCGCCUGGGAAGAAGAUCCAUAAACACGGGGCUAAGGGAAAGAUCCUGCAUCUCAGGCCUGAGGAAUUCGGAGCCACAGGACAGAGGCCCCAGGACCCUUUUGGGCCACUCUGAGAGACGCACGGAAAACGAGCAGAGCAUGCAGCCCGGCUGCCACUGGACCGACAAACCCGGAGUCGCUGUGAUGUACGGUACCUGUGAGAGCCUGGCAGUAACUCGUCUGUGUGACGAAGCGGGACUGUUCUUAAUGUUUCCUCUGAAUAGUGUGGGGGUGCCUCACUUUCCCCUGGGCAGUUCUUAAGUAUCUAGGGGGUGGGGUAAGGGUGUAUGAUCGUUGCAGAGCCCUAGAGGGCAGGUGUGUGCAGGAGUCUGGACACAGAGAAUGGCCGACACCCUGUUUCCUGGCCACUGAUGGCCUGGGCCCUUCCCCCCCCUGCAAGGUGAGAGCUAAAGGGUUGGAGAACAAAGGAAUCUGGUGACCUCCUGGCCCGGGAAAGGGACAAAGCCCAGAGGAGGAGGGGCUGGAGGGAGUUUUCAGUUUGGGGCUGGCUGGGACAUGGAGUGAAGGGCAGACGUGGUUGUCUGGCUCACUGCCCCCCAAAAUGGACCCAGCUGAGGGGUCCUGUUCUCUGCACCUACAAGCUCUGUGUUAGACCAUGUUCCUGUCGUCUAAUAAACCUCUGUUUUACUGGC